GACGAACGCUGGCGGCGUGCCUAAUACAUGCAAGUAGAACGCUGAAGGAGGAGCUUGCUUCUCUGGAUGAGUUGCGAACGGGUGAGUAACGCGUAGGUAACCUGCCUGGUAGCGGGGGAUAACUAUUGGAAACGAUAGCUAAUACCGCAUAAUAGUAGAUGUUGCAUGACAUUUGCUUAAAAGGUGCAAUUGCAUCACUACCAGAUGGACCUGCGUUGUAUUAGCUAGUUGGUGGGGUAACGGCUCACCAAGGCGACGAUACAUAGCCGACCUGAGAGGGUGAUCGGACACACUGGGACGGAGACACGGCCCAGACUCCUACGGGAGGCAGCAGUAGGGAAUCUUCGGCAAUGGAAGGAAGUCUGACCGAGCAACGCCGCGUGAGUGAAGAAGGUUUUCGGAUCGUAAAGCUCUGUUGUAAGAGAAGAACGAGUGUGAGAGUGGAAAGUUCACACUGUGACGGUAUCUUACCAGAAAGGGACGGCUAACUACGUG
Molecule: ribosomal RNA, 495 nt
Filed under: uncultured bacterium
Lineage: Bacteria
Description: partial 16S ribosomal RNA
Rfam family: Bacterial small subunit ribosomal RNA
Source: RNAcentral